Molecule: transfer RNA, 70 nt
Filed under: Trichechus manatus latirostris (Florida manatee)
Lineage: Eukaryota; Metazoa; Chordata; Mammalia; Sirenia; Trichechidae
Description: tRNA-Thr (CGT) (tRNA-Thr-CGT-6-1)
Rfam family: tRNA
About the family: Transfer RNA (tRNA) molecules are approximately 80 nucleotides in length. Their secondary structure includes four short double-helical elements and three loops (D, anti-codon, and T loops).
Source: Rfam by way of RNAcentral
GCAUUGGUAGUUCAGUGGUAGAAUUCUCGCCCUCGUGCGGGAGACCAGGGUUCGAUUCCCGGCCAGUGCA